Molecule: ribosomal RNA, 785 nt
Filed under: Staphylococcus aureus
Lineage: Bacteria; Bacillati; Bacillota; Bacilli; Caryophanales; Staphylococcaceae
Description: bacterial SSU rRNA
Rfam family: Bacterial small subunit ribosomal RNA
Source: RNAcentral
GCGUGCCUAAUACAUGCAAGUCGAGCGAACGGACGAGAAGCUUGCUUCUCUGAUGUUAGCGGCGGACGGGUGAGUAACACGUGGAUAACCUACCUAUAAGACUGGGAUAACUUCGGGAAACCGGAGCUAAUACCGGAUAAUAUUUUGAACCGCAUGGUUCAAAAGUGAAAGACGGUCUUGCUGUCACUUAUAGAUGGAUCCGCGCUGCAUUAGCUAGUUGGUAAGGUAACGGCUUACCAAGGCAACGAUGCAUAGCCGACCUGAGAGGGUGAUCGGCCACACUGGAACUGAGACACGGUCCAGACUCCUACGGGAGGCAGCAGUAGGGAAUCUUCCGCAAUGGGCGAAAGCCUGACGGAGCAACGCCGCGUGAGUGAUGAAGGUCUUCGGAUCGUAAAACUCUGUUAUUAGGGAAGAACAUAUGUGUAAGUAACUGUGCACAUCUUGACGGUACCUAAUCAGAAAGCCACGGCUAACUACGUGCCAGCAGCCGCGGUAAUACGUAGGUGGCAAGCGUUAUCCGGAAUUAUUGGGCGUAAAGCGCGCGUAGGCGGUUUUUUAAGUCUGAUGUGAAAGCCCACGGCUCAACCGUGGAGGGUCAUUGGAAACUGGAAAACUUGAGUGCAGAAGAGGAAAGUGGAAUUCCAUGUGUAGCGGUGAAAUGCGCAGAGAUAUGGAGGAACACCAGUGGCGAAGGCGACUUUCUGGUCUGUAACUGACGCUGAUGUGCGAAAGCGUGGGGAUCAAACAGGAUUAGAUACCCUGGUAGUCCACGCCGUAAACGA